RNAcentral lists this unclassified non-coding RNA (23 nucleotides) under Mus musculus (house mouse). RNAcentral describes it as "oocyte_clustered_small_RNA9061". Lineage: Eukaryota; Metazoa; Chordata; Mammalia; Rodentia; Muridae. The record is from RNAcentral.
UUGCAGACAUUGCAGAGCCCUCC